This 432-nucleotide ribosomal RNA is filed under the name uncultured bacterium. RNAcentral describes it as "bacterial SSU rRNA". It matches the Rfam family "Bacterial small subunit ribosomal RNA", at positions 88 to 507 of the family's 1533-position model. The record is from RNAcentral.
GAGGUGAGUGGCGGACGGGUGAGUAACACGUGGUAACCUGCCCUAAAGUGGGGGAUAACAUUUGGAAACAGAUGCUAAUACCGCAUAAAACCUAACACCGCAUGGUGUAGGGUUGAAAGAUGGUUUCGGCUAUCACUUUAGGAUGGACCCGCGGUGCAUUAGUUAGUCGGUGAGGUAAAGGCUCACCAAGACCGUGAUGCAUAGCCGACCUGAGAGGGUAAUCGGCCACACUGGGACUGAGACACGGCCCAGACACCUACGGGAGGCAGCAGUAGGGAAUCUUCCACAAUGGACGAAAGUCUGAUGGAGCAACGCCGCGUGAGUGAAGAAGGUUUUCGGAUCGUAAAACUCUGUUGUUGGAGAAGAAUGUAUCUGAUAGUAACUGAUCAGGUAGUGACGGUAUCCAACCAGAAAGCCACGGCUAACUACGUG